Molecule: ribosomal RNA, 253 nt
Filed under: uncultured bacterium
Lineage: Bacteria
Description: partial 16S ribosomal RNA
Rfam family: Bacterial small subunit ribosomal RNA
Source: RNAcentral
UACGAAGGGGGCUAGCGUUGCUCGGAAUCACUGGGCGUAAAGGGUGUGUAGGUGGCGCGCUAAGUCGGGUGUGAAAUUUCGGAGCUUAACUCCGAAACUGCAUUCGAUACUGGCGUGCUUGAGGACUGGAGAGGAGACUGGAAUUCAUGGUGUAGCAGUGAAAUGCGUAGAGAUCAUGAGGAAGACCAGUGGCGAAGGCGGGUCUCUGGACAGUUCCUGACACUGAGACACGAAGGCCAGGGGAGCAAACGGG